RNAcentral lists this transfer RNA (82 nucleotides) under Eumeta japonica. RNAcentral's name for it is "tRNA-Val". Lineage: Eukaryota; Metazoa; Arthropoda; Insecta; Lepidoptera; Psychidae. The record is from RNAcentral.
CGUAGCGUCGCCGAGCGGUCUAAGGCGUUGUUUUAACGCAUCAGUCUCUUAGGAGGCGGGGGUUCAAAUCCCAACGUUGCAA